RNAcentral lists this ribosomal RNA (268 nucleotides) under eukaryote marine clone ANT37-23. Its description in RNAcentral is "partial 18S ribosomal RNA". It matches the Rfam family "Eukaryotic small subunit ribosomal RNA", at positions 449 to 716 of the family's 1831-position model. The record is from RNAcentral.
UCCUGAUCGCGGGAGGUAGUGACAAUAAAUAACAAUGCCGGGCUUUUUCGAGUCUGGCAAUUGGAAAAAGAACAAUUUAAAUCCCUUAACGAGGAUCAAUUGGAGGGCAAGUCUGGUGCCAGCAGCCGCGGUAAUUCCAGCUCCAAUAGCGUAUAUUAAAGUUGUUGCAGUUAAAAAGCUCGUAGUUGGAUUUCUGGCAGGAGCGACCGGUCCGCCGCAAGGUGUGCACUAGGUUGUCUCCAGUCAUCUUUGUGGGAACUGCUCUGGC